Non-coding RNA from Pelobates cultripes (western spadefoot toad), 339 nucleotides. NCBI's taxonomy places the organism in Eukaryota, Metazoa, Chordata, Amphibia, Anura, Pelobatidae. The record is from the annotation of a GenBank genome assembly.
GGGGGUACAUUGAUAAAAGGUGGGGUUAGUUAUGUGGUACAUUGAUAAAAGGUGGGGUUAGUUAUGGGGUACAUUGAUAAAAGGUGGGGUUAAUUAUGGGGUACAUUAAUAAAAGGUAAGGUUAGUUAGUAGGUACAUUGAUAAAAGGUAGGCUUGGUUAGUGGGUACAUUGAUAAAAGGUGGGGUUAGUUAAGGGAUACAUUGAUAAAAGGUAGGGUUAGUUAGGGGGUACAUUGAUAAAAGGUGGGGUUAGUUAUUGGGUACAUUGAUAAAAAGUGGGGUUAGUUAUGGGGUACACUGAUAAAAGGUGGGGUUAGUUAGGGGUUACAUUGAUAAAAG